RNAcentral lists this transfer RNA (82 nucleotides) under Pleione limprichtii. Its description in RNAcentral is "tRNA-Cys". The stretch from base 1 to 71 matches the Rfam family "tRNA". From Rfam's summary of the family: Transfer RNA (tRNA) molecules are approximately 80 nucleotides in length. Their secondary structure includes four short double-helical elements and three loops (D, anti-codon, and T loops). Lineage: Eukaryota; Viridiplantae; Streptophyta; Magnoliopsida; Asparagales; Orchidaceae. The record is from RNAcentral. RNAcentral also lists the same sequence under 2 other names.
GGCGGCAUGGCCAAGCGGUAAGGCGGGGGACUGCAAAUCCUUUAUCCCCAGUUCGAAUCUGGGUGUCGCCUGAUCAACAAAA